Sphingobacterium sp. is the source of this 128-nucleotide non-coding RNA. The record is from Rfam. NCBI's taxonomy places the organism in Bacteria, Pseudomonadati, Bacteroidota, Sphingobacteriia, Sphingobacteriales, Sphingobacteriaceae.
UUGUAUUAACAAAAAAAGAAAUGAUAAUAACUGUAUUAAAUAAAGCUUGGUGGUGGCACGACGAAUAACGUUGUGGCAAACACCUAUUGCAUUAUUUGAUAUAUACAUCAAGAUAUGAUGGGCUUGCC